AAAUUGAAGAGUUUGAUCAUGGCUCAGAUUGAACGCUGGCGGCAGGCCUAACACAUGCAAGUCGAGCGGAAACGAGUUAUCUGAACCUUCGGGGGACGAUAACGGCGUCGAGCGGCGGACGGGUGAGUAAUGCCUAGGAAAUUGCCCUGAUGUGGGGGAUAACCA
RNAcentral lists this ribosomal RNA (165 nucleotides) under Vibrio parahaemolyticus. Its description in RNAcentral is "partial 16S ribosomal RNA". It matches the Rfam family "Bacterial small subunit ribosomal RNA", at positions 1 to 149 of the family's 1533-position model. Lineage: Bacteria; Pseudomonadati; Pseudomonadota; Gammaproteobacteria; Vibrionales; Vibrionaceae. The record is from RNAcentral.